UGAACUGUAUUCCCUUGCUCUCUAGGUGGACGCCUGAUUGGCAAAACUUGAACUGUAUUCCCUUGCUCUCCAGGUGGGCGCCUGAUUGACAAAACUUGAACUGCUCCUCUGAAACUGCUGCCUUUGAACCUAAUUACAACAAAACAAAAGAAAUUUUCUUGCCCCAGUUUGGUGCUGGGCGCAUUUGUGAAUGUUAAUUGAAUCAUGCUACCAAAUAUCUGGAUGAAUUUAAAAGCUAAAUCCCAUUAUCCAGGAGGGUCAUGAAAACUCCUAGUUAAAUGACAGUUUUAAAUCUAAAUUAUAUCUUCUAAAGGUGUGACUUCCGCUAAAUCUUGUUAUCUAAGAGGAUCUUAAAACUACAUCCCAUUAUCCAGAAGGGUCUUAAAAAUCAACAAUCAAGUCUUAUCUUAAAAGUGACAAUUUUUAUGGCUGAAUUAUAAUACUCUUCAACAGAACUUACGCUAAAUCUUGUUAUCUCAUGGAAAUAUUAAAGCUAAGUCCCAUUAUUCAGGAGGCUCCUGACAAUUUCGAAUUGAGUCCUAUCCUAAGAAUGAAAACUUCAAAGCCGACUUAUAUUUCUUUGGGGUAAGACUUAUGCUAGAUCUUGUACUCAUGCAUGUUUGAAUUUUAAACUGGAUCCCAUUUUCCAGAAAGGUCCUGAAAAUUUAUGGUCAAACCUGUUUGGUGCUUGCUUUUCCUUAUGGAGGGUUUCUCCGAAACAGACGAAAUUUUCUGCCCCUAUUUCAAUCAAAGAAAAAUCUUGUCAGUUUAAAAUGCGGUGGUUGGUUUGUGGCCUUGAAUUUGAGGGCGAUUUCUCUUUCACUUCCCACGAUAACGUUGAUUUCCACUCGAAGACCUUGCUUGUUUAUUGACUAACCACUUUCUUUGUCACUCAUAUCACAGAAAAUACCUCUUUUUCGUUCAGACCCAAUACCUUCUAUCUGUUGCAUUGCUCAUGAACUGACAUUUACCAAACCUUUGUGUCUCACAUGAAUCCCAAAGCACGUCAAUUUCCACCCACUCAGUGCGUAUGAUGUUCCUUCUCGACUUAAACCACUGGCCUUGGCCUUGAGGUCUAUUGCUCCAUCACUUGCCAUGAUAACUUUGAUUUCUGCUUGGAAGACCUUGCCUGUCACUAGUUAACCACUUUCUUUUGUCAAUUUUAUCACAGAAAAUACCUUUGAUCUGUUCCAACCCAACACCCUCUAUCUGUUGCAUUGUUCAUGAAUUGACAUAUACCGAUCCUCUGUAUUUCACAUGAAUCUCAAAGCACGUUGACUGUUACCAACUCAGUGCGCUUGCUGCUCUUUUCCUGACUUAUGCCACUUUGAUAUGCUAGCCAGAUCCCGUUUUGUGCAAUUGGAAAGAUGGUGGCAAAAUUUGAAGUCAUUUCUCACUCGUUCUAACCAAACAGACUUAGGAAGAGAAAGUAAACAAGACAAAAGGAACAGAGUAAAGGACAAUGGAACGAGACGAUUCCUAACAAGAAAACUACAAAGUAGAAACUUAUCAGAUGCGGAUACCAACUCUAAUGGCCAUGACAUGCACCUUUGGAGUAAGUGGCCUAAUCUUUCAAGCAAGUUUGAUGUUCGACUCUUGUUGUACCUCUAAGCCGUGAAAUUGGGCUUUCAUACUCCGAUUAUCCUAUCUGAUUCACGAUCUUUAUUCGACUUGUAGCGCCCGAAGGGUUUUCACCAUCAAACCUCUCUUAUUUUGUUCUUUCUCUCAACUCACCAUCGCCUUAUGGUGCGCCUGUGAAGGUUUUCACCAAUAAAAUUCUCUCAUUUUGUUCUUUUCUUCUUAUUUCCUCUGAUUCUGUAGAUGACAAGGCACCAGAGUAAAAACAUCAUAUGCUCCUGGCAUGUCUAAACUCAGCACUCUCAAAGAUUAUCGGGGAGGUCUUUCAGACUGUAAUGUGGCUUUUGGACGGGGUUAGAAAGAAAGGAUAUCAUAAAGGCUCAAAAAUAACUAAGACAACGAGGUUAAUUUAUUUACAACUUUUGGAAUCCAUUUUAAAAACUUUGCCCCAAUUUCUAAACAGGGGAAUUUGAAUCUAUUUUUCCCUUUUUUUUGAAUUUCCCACUCUCAAUUUCGUGGGAUUAUGAAAUAUUUUAUUUGGUAUGACCGAACCGUGAGACUGCCUACGUAUCUUGUGGUGACAAGAAUCAGGUCAAACGUAGUUCACGACACUACUUUUUGUUGCUACUUUCCUUUUUUCUCUUUUUUCCUUUUUCUUUUCCUUCUUUUUCUUUUUUUGUUCUUUUUUCUCAAUUUUCUCUUCUCUUUUUUUUAAUUUUCCUUUAGGAACGAACUUUCUAAAAUAAACCUAUGGGGACAUUAACUUUCUCUUCCUUUUUUUUGACUCUAACUUGAUUCCAAAAGAGGGAAGGUCAAAGAAAUUAGUACAUACUCAAAAGGGUAUCAAAUAGUAUAAGUGUUUGGGUAGCUGAAAGAGAGCUUCCCAAUCCCUGAAAAUACCAAGUACAACACAUGCGACUUGAAAUGAAAAUUGAAAAUCAUGCACAAUAUUUCUUUUGCGGCUUCGACAUUGAUAUCACUGAUAUGUCUUCCAUUUUUCUUUAGCUCCUUGUCAUGUACAGAACCCUCGUUGGGUGAUUCCCUCUUCACAAUGGAUAUCCUCCGUCAAUUCGGAGAGAACUUCAUUGACUUUAUCCUGUAACUUGAGAUGCACUUGAACUCAAAGUUGCUUGUUUCAAAUCGUCUGGGAUGCACUUUCCUUUAACUAAUUCUUGCCAUCCUAUAAACUUCCCAAAUUAUCUGCUCCAAUUUCACCAAGUCCGGGCUUCAAAUGAUCUCAAAAUGUCCAAAUCUGUACUUAUUACCCUCAAAUGUCCAUAUCAUCUUCAAAAUUGUUUCAUUACUCCAUGAAUAAACUAACUAUUGAGACCAGGUCUAGAAUUAUGCAUGCGUGUCAUGUCACUAGAGCCAGCAGGCAAGGAACUAAAAAGGAGAAAAGAACUAAACAAAAAAAUGACUAGAAAUAAAAGAAGACAAGAAAUAGCAUUAGACAGACGGUGAAAUGGUUCGAACAAUAAAACAAGCAAACCAAACUGGGGUUACAACCCUGGAACAAACCUAGACAACACCUGAUGAGUUAAUAUGACUAAACAAACCAGGCAAAAUAAAAAGGAUAAAAGGGUUUGAGUCAUAAGACAAUAUCCGGAUUACAACACUGAAAUCACCCGGACAACAGAAAUGACAACAAAAUAAACCACCAAGACUCCUCCCUGGCUAGCCAAGAAAGGAGCGUCUUUCCAAUUAUCAAGCUCGGUAUCUUAGCCACUGAGUUCCGCAUCGAUAUUGCCAAGACGAUUACCAACUUCAACAUUAUCAACUUUAGUCAAUAAGUUCCCAAGAGGAUUCGCAUGCUCCCUGUCACUGUCAUUGAUCACAAUUAUACCUUCUUGAAUCAUUCUAUCUAUUUCCCUUUUCAAAGAUCGACGAUCUUCAAUGCUAUGCCCUUGGACAUUAGAGUGGUACUUGCAUCGUACAGCAGGAUCAAAGCCUUUUGCAUAUGGGUUUGGAGUAUAGCCGAGGAGCGGCUCAAUCAGGCCAGAAUGCUUUAACUUUUCAAACAAGCUUGUAUAAGAUUCUCCCGAUAGGCGAGAAAGCAUUUUCUUUUUUCAGUAGUCUUUUCAUUUUAUAUUCUGGCCUCGGUUGGAACCUUUUGCGGGCAGGUGGUUGAUAUGCCUGAGGGGGCGGGUGAGACAUUUGUGGAAGUGGCGUGGGCCAUCGCGGGCCUCGGGGAUUUGAAGCAUAUGGUGGUGCAUUAUGGACGGGGUAUCGGGGAAGUGAUGUACGAUUUUGGGGGUUUUGUGGAGAGAAGUAGCAGUGGGGAGGAUUACAAGGAUAUCCAGGGGGUUGACAUUGAGGCUAAAAGCAUUUAGCAAGAACGACCACUGGACCCUGUCGUCGGCGGGGCUCAGCAACAUCUUUUCUAUCAACGGGAGGACUAUCCCGAGCAACUUGUUCGUUCCAUCUGAGCUAGAAAUCCCUAAAACUUUUCUUGGAUUUCUUUUCCAUCUAAGAUAGGGAGGAGCGGUUUGGGACAAUGUCUAUAUUGUACUGAAAGUGUCGCACAAAAUCUUGAGCCAUGUUGCCCAAUGUAUGUCACUUACCGACAUCUUGACGAUUAUGCCAUUCCAAAGCUGUCCUAGUCAAGCUCUCACUGAAAUACGUCAUUAACAAAUCAUCUUUCUCGCCAGCACCUCUCAUUUCACUGCAAUAACCCCUUAGAUGGGCUACCGGAUCUCCACCCCCAUCAUACAAGUUAAACUUUUGCACUUUAAACCCUGCGGGCAGGCGAACGUCAAGGAACAUACACAACUCUUUAUAAAACAUGCUAACCUGGUCUCCCGUCCCUUGCAUGUUUUUUAAAGACUGUUCUAUGCUUUUCAACUUCCUGGGUAUCUCAUCUCGCCCUUCUCUUCCUGUGAACUUUUUAUUUUCAACACGAGGCUCAUCUCGUGGGCCCUGCUUGUAUGAGUUGGGGACCUUGUGGGCAACCUCUGAGAGGUAAUGUUGGGCAUCAUGAGCUUUGAGUAGGUGUUCAUUGUCGGGGAUAGUGGAUGUGACAGGAGGGCACUUUUGGGAAAAGAUAGUUGGAGGACGAGUGAUGGAGCUACUAGGGUGGUUGUGAAAGUUGUGAUAAGCGGGUGGAUCUGGAGAGUAUGGAGGAUCAUCUGACAUUGGGUCCGGAGUUUGGGUAAGGGCAGCAUCUAGGAAGCUAGGUGGUGGCGGGGGUGGUGCCUUCCCAGUCAUCCAAGCCUGAUACAUGUCCGUCAUGUGUUGUCUUAACAUCUUUACCUCUUCAACCAACCCAUUGUCCUAUUCAAACAACUGCUUCCGGGGACUGGUAUCAACCAACUCAGUUUUGUUGUUGUCUGCCAUUGCCUUUUGACUUUAUGUUGUAGAGAAGAGUUAUCACUUUAAAAACCACAAACCAACCACCCUUCUUUUAUGAAUAUAACAAAAUGAAGCCAUCAUGUUAGCGUUAGGGCAUUUAACAUAAGAUAAUCUCACUUUAUGUGCAAUGCACCUAGCCACAGUUAUCGGUUCUAAAAUGACUUUGAGAGUACGAAGAUCAGUUGGCAUCAUCCCAAUUUGUUCAUUUCAAUCCUCUCUUUUCUUUGCUUUUCUCGAACUUGCUUGAUCAAUUUUCCUUCCUCUUUUUCUAAUUUCACNNNNNNNNNNNNNNNNNNNNNNNNNNNNNNNNNNNNNNNNNNNNNNNNNNNNNNNNNNNNNNNNNNNNNNNNNNNNNNNNNNNNNNNNNNNNNNNNNNNNNNNNNNNNNNNNNNNNNNNNNNNNNNNNNNNNNNNNNNNNNNNNNNNNNNNNNNNNNNNNNNNNNNNNNNNNNNNNNNNNNNNNNNNNNNNNNNNNNNNNNNNNNNNNNNNNNNNNNNNNNNNNNNNNNNNNNNNNNNNNNNNNNNNNNNNNNNNNNNNNNNNNNNNNNNNNNNNNNNNNNNNNNNNNNNNNNNNNNNNNNNNNNNNNNNNNNNNNNNNNNNNNNNNNNNNNNNNNNNNNNNNNNNNNNNNNNNNNNNNNNNNNNNNNNNNNNNNNNNNNNNNNNNNNNNNNNNNNNNNNNNNNNNNNNNNNNNNNNNNNNNUCCCUACAAUUUCAUCUCUUUUUUCAUCUUCUUUUUUUCCUUUUUCCUUUCUUUUCUUUUCUUUAACAAAGUAAAAAAAUGAUUCGAUCGAACCCUAUGUAGGUUACUUACGUAUCAUGACGCUGCAUGAAUCAGAUCUUUGCGUAGUUCUGGAAGAACGGGAAUAAAGUAAACAAACUAACGCUCUUUUUUCUUUUCUCUUUUUUUUUUUACCUUAAGGACUAUUCUUAUAAGAAAUGAGGAAUAAAAGAAGCAAAUCUUUUUUUUUUGAAUUUUCUAGACUUAAUGUUCUAUAACCUGUUGCAAAUUCAAGCUUAACGAGCAUAUAUUUUUUGCUUUUUUGUUUUUUUUGAAACAAACACUCUAUGGGAAAUUAUUAAGGAAAAACCCUAGAAGAGAAAAAAAAAUAUUUUUUGAUUCUUUUUUUUUUAGGAAGAAGAUCGAAAGAAUAAACCACAGAAAAAUAUUUUGAAUUUUCAUUUGAUAUCCUGAUGCAGGUGAAACAAGCAAUGAAAAAGAUAAAACAACAUGCUUUUGGAUUUCAAUUUGAUUGCCUAAAGGAAGAAGCUUUAAACAAAAUAUAAAGUAUGUUCUUUUUUCUUCUAUGUCCUAAAGUUCUUGGGAAAAUAAAAGAAUAUAUUUUUUUAUUUUUCAUUAAUUUCCCAAAGAAGAACAUCAAAAGAAAAUCUUUUUGGAUAUUUGAGAAUAAUGCUUUAAAGAAAACUUUUUAAAAGGUACUAAAAGGAUUUUUUUUUUUUGAAUUUUGGUCCUAAUAUAGUAAAGGGAAUAUAAAAAGAAUUUUUAUUUAAGUCCUAGAUAUUAAUUGCCUAGAGGAAAAACCACCUCCAAAAUACUUUUUUUUUCAUUCCUACAAUUAGUAUUCUAAAGAAAAUUCCUAACGGAAAUAUAAAACGCAAAUUUUUUAAUUUUUUUGGAUUUUUGAUUCAUUACACACCCUUUCAAUUGCAAAAUAGAAAGUACAAUAAUAAUAAUAAAACUCGACAUUACUAUACAAAGCUAAAAGUUAAAAGAUGACAUAAAAUAAAAAAAAUAAAAAAACAAACACAAAACAUAAAAAGAAAAGAAAAUCUUCUUUUAGUCCACUCCUGAAUGAGCGAUCCUGACUAGAUGUCCUGGGGCUCUGUCAUGCUCAAACUCCGAUAAGUAAAUCCACGCUUGUAUGAGAAAAUUAAAACCAAAUAGGUUAAAGACCUAGAGCUCUAUGUGAGACAAUAACCCUUCCUGUUGGAAACAUGCAAGACAUGAUUUAGGCUAUUUUUGCAAAAUGACUUAUUUGGCCAAAAGAUGGCUAGAAGUGCAAAAUUUGGCUAAGACCCCGCAAAGCCAAGAACCUAAGAUUUACUAGGAAGACCAGACCCUAUGUGGGCUGCCUACGUAUCACGCCUUAAAAGAUGAGAAUCAGGUAUGCGUAGUUCCGACAGAUUGAAUACGUGCAAGAAUUAAAAAAACAACUAAUUUAGAGAAAACAUAUUUUUUGUCUUUUUUUAAAAAAAAUGGUGAGACAUGUAACUUUUUUUGGAUUUUUUUCUUUUUCUUUUCUUUUUUUGAUUUUCUGAUUUAUGAAAAAAUGCAAAAUCUCUUCUUUUUUUUUUUGAAUUUUCAAGCUCUUUUUUUUAACAAGAAUGUGACAGAAAACAUAAUUGGGCCCCACUCGCUUUAUCUUCACACUUCAACCUUUUUUUCUUUUUCUUUUUCAUUUGCCCUCAACUAUCAUUGGUCUGCCAAAUGACCAUUUUACACUUGAAGAAAUGCAACAUGUAGCACAUAGGAUGCAUCAAGAGGUCUGUUAUUUUGGGUACACCUGUCCUAGACGGACCCAACCCCUGUGUUGAGUCCCCAAAGUCAGAUGCACGUGAUGCAAACAAGCGUUCAUACUAGGGAUCCGGCAUGAGGCUGAGUUAUUCGAGGUUUAAAACCUGGGUAUGUGUUCUAAACUGUGUACCCGAGCGGACAACUCGAGCCGAGGAGGGGGCUACGUACCGGGAACCAAAAGGCCAUCCGGCUUAGUAACUUGUCCGAGCCUCUUUCUUAUUUCAAGGUAUGACACUAACAGAAUAAGGAGUCUCGACCAGCGAGCACAUCCCCGAAAAUGAGAAACGAAGGGUUUCGUAGCAGUUUAUAUACAGUUCAGAUAAUAUCAAAGCGGUACAAGCAUCAUUUAACACAUUAGGCCCAAGCAUGUAAUUAGAUAACAGAUAAAGCCAAAUACAACAAUUCAUCUAAGCUCGAAUUCUGAACCCUGAACCAGAGAUUCUGGGUUCGGUCCCCAGCAGAGUCGCCAGAGUCGUCACACCUCCGUAAGGGAGUAUAAAGGGAGUUUUUUCCAACUUAAAGUGACAAUCGAAACGGGAUUAUUUAUUUAUUAAACUCAGAGUCACCACUUGGGAUAAUUUAUGAUGUCACAAGUCAGCGGUUCAAAUCUCGAAUCGAGGAAAAGAUUGACUCUGUAUUACAGUCUACGAACACAGAAAUCCGGGCAAGGAAUUUUGUUAACCCGAAAGAAAGUGUUAGGCAUUCCCGAGUUUCGUGGUUCUAGCACGGUCGCUCAACUGUUAUAAUUGGCCUUUUAUCUGAUUUUAAUACAUGUUUUAGCCUAUGGUGCCAUUUUAACUUAUUAACUGCUCUUAUUCAUUUUUAGGAAGACUGCAACGUCAUUUAAAAUAUGUCUUGAACCACGUCACAUAAAUGCACCCGCAGUCCGCAACACAUUUUAUAUAACAUUGUCGAGAUUUGGAUUUGGGUCACAUAAAUGCGCACCCGAGUUUAGGAAGGUAAAUUAUUAAAUAGCGCGCCUAAAGCAACUGCGAUAUAUUCAUUUCCUGAACUAAUCUAUUGUAGAGGUCAUGAUUUAAGGAUUGAACUACAGUACGCCAGCUCUUUUACAUUGUAACAAGGCUAAGAAAUUUCAACACUUUUAUCUAUUUUUUUAAUCCUUUAGCAAAUGAUGUUGUAUCUACUAUCUACUGUAUUUACAUUCUCAUUUCACACCGAAAAGCUAAAAGACAAAUUUAUGUGUAUUAUAAAAUAUGUUGUUCCCUACUUUGCUGUCAAUGCAUAAGUUUCAUUUUUUCCAUAUAAAUCAUCUUAUAUUAUCUCAAAUAAAUAGCAACAAUAAUAAGUGAAACAGAAUAUAAGAAUGGAAAUAAAAUUAAUUUUAAGGUGAAAUAGAGGUAAAUAAAGAUCACAUAGAAGACAAAUCACAAACAUUAUUAAUAAAUCAUUUUAAAAGAGAGGACAGAAACAUUCGCAUUUUGGGAUUCAUGAUUUUUGACGCCAAAGUUUAUAAAUUCAAGCUAACCUUACCUGCCAAAUCAUUUUUCAUUAAGCUCACGCCUAAUUUUCAACCUCUGUCAGUGGAUACCAUUCCAAUUCUCUUUAACAAAAUUUAAAUUGCUUUGUCUCAUUUAACAAGUAAAUAGUAGCAUAGUUUCAUGUAGUCACUAAACACAAUAUAGGCAUGAAAGGCAGUAGCAAUGAAGAUAGAUGAAACAAAACAUAAACAUGAAGAAUGCAUUAUCUACUAACUCAAACCACAAACAAGGUAAGGCAUCAAAGGAUUCAUGACAAUAAAUUAGAAUGAAAGUAGAGAAGGAACAGAAAUGACGGACCUUUUAUAUACAUGAAAAUUUAUUGACUACAAAGAUGUGAGCUCGACGAGAGAAUUCAAUCAAAACCGAACCAGGCACGGAGAACUCGUCGGCGACCUCGAACAAGGAUCUGGACAAAUAUUAUAGCGACUCGACUAGAUUUGGACAGUUAUUUCGAGUGUAAAGAAGUCGGUUCGAUGGAUGUUUGCGGCUGGUUUUGGACGGCAUUUCGUUGGAUCUCUGGUGCUGAUUUUGGGACAGCUUUUCUGGGAUUUUCGGACUGGUUUUUCAGCAAUUUCGCAGCUGGUUUGGCUGCUCUUUGGAGCUAUUUUACGGAUAGUUUUUGGGGUUGAAUUUCAGCUUGGUUUAGGGCUCUUUUCGUGGUGGUUUAAGGUGUUUCAGGGAUGUUUGAGCUGAAGUUUUUGAGGUUGAAAAGCUAUGGAUGAAGCUGGUUUUUAGGUGAAGCAACAUCGGGUUUCAGCUACUCUUUUUUUUUGGAUGCUUUUGGCUGCUUUUUGUUACUGAUUUUAGAGGGUCAUGUGGUUACUUUUGUCAUGAGAAGGGUUGGCCUUACAUGGCUAUGAAAAUUUGAUGGAAAAAGAGAAUGAAGUUUCCACCAGGAAGAAGAAGCAAAGAAUGGCGGAUGCUCCUCUUCGAUCCAAUUGUUGUUGCCGUUUUUUAGUCUAUAUCUAGGUCCUCAAAACGGC
RNAcentral lists this long non-coding RNA (9941 nucleotides) under Nicotiana tabacum (common tobacco). Its description in RNAcentral is "long non-coding RNA (NTAB_LNC018845)". Lineage: Eukaryota; Viridiplantae; Streptophyta; Magnoliopsida; Solanales; Solanaceae. The record is from RNAcentral.